UGUUUUCACACGCACUCACGUCACACAUCCAAUUUCUCACGGCAAAAAAAAAAAAUCUGAUUUUGGGCAGACGCGUUCGUUCCUUUUCAAACUCCCCGAGGGUAGCUGGCGCUAAGGAACGCAUCUGUAACACUAUUCGCUGCAUAGACAUCUUAUUUACCCCAAGAAGUCCCGAAGUUAGCAACAGAAGAAGAGUUACAAAGAGAGACAACCGCGGUAAAAACUCGGGAAGAGAUUACAUCGCUGAAGAAAAUCUUCAUCUCCAAACUGAGCAGAGACUAGAUGGUGAAAUUCGUACGCAAGCUAUGUUCCAAAUGUAUGGUUCCAGCAGCUCUGCAAGGCCAUGAGGAGCCUUGUGAAAUUGCCUAUAAAGAGAAGGCAAACCAUUUGCCAGGUUAGUGUUUGGCUAUUAUUAUGAUCAUACACUGUGAUAUGUGAUAGAUAAAAUGUGAUAUUUAGCCUUGUACCUAGCCUUUUGCCACUUCAUGAGUAGAAACCUAAGGUUUGUGGUAGUCCUUCCAAAAGUGAGCUUCUGGUUGGAUUUCUUGCCCUAUGUGUCAAGCUGAUAUUGCUGCAUCAGUAUGUUAAACCAUUUAUGUUAACCUGAUAUGCUGUAUCUGUACAGGGAAAAAGUUGAACAUUGGGUUCACAACCAGGGCUAAACUUAACAGAUAUCUUGAUGAGGGUGACAUCACACCACGGCAGGUGGAUUCAUUCCAUGAAGCUGUGUUAAGUUUCCCAACAAGUGCUGUAGGCUAUACACUUAAGAAGCUGCCAAUGGAAGUGCCACUGAUCAAACACGCAGAAUUUGUAGAUGUGCGGCAGAGGGCUGAAAGUGGCAUUGAAGAUGUCCUGUACUUUGUUGAAAGGUUUCCCCAUCUCCUCCCAUACCAUGGGCCAGAGGAGCAUGACCACCUGGGUGAGGAGUUUCUGAAUUAUCAGACCAUGCCAACAACCUCCCUUCAGGACGAAACUGAGAUGGAAAGCUUCUGGGCUG
Long non-coding RNA from Clupea harengus (Atlantic herring), 997 nucleotides. Lineage: Eukaryota; Metazoa; Chordata; Actinopteri; Clupeiformes; Clupeidae. The record is from Ensembl.